RNAcentral lists this transfer RNA (85 nucleotides) under Prevotella sp. RNAcentral describes it as "tRNA-Leu". It matches the Rfam family "tRNA". Rfam says of the family: Transfer RNA (tRNA) molecules are approximately 80 nucleotides in length. Their secondary structure includes four short double-helical elements and three loops (D, anti-codon, and T loops). Lineage: Bacteria; Pseudomonadati; Bacteroidota; Bacteroidia; Bacteroidales; Prevotellaceae. The record is from RNAcentral.
GCGCUUGUGGCGGAAUUGGUAGACGCGCCAGACUUAGGAUCUGGUGUCUCCCGACGUGCAGGUUCGAGUCCUGUCAGGCGCACCA